GACAGAGGUGCCGAGCGUUAGGCGGAAUCACUGGGCUUAAAGCGUGUGUAGGCGGACCGUUAAGUACCUUGUGAAAUCCCCCGGCUCAACCGGGGAACGGCUGGGUAUACUGGCGGUCUUGAGCCACCUAGGGGCGAGCGGAACAAGCGGUGGAGCGGUGAAAUGCGUAGAUAUCGCUUGGAACGCCGACGGUGAAAACAGCUCGCUGGGGGUGUGCUGACGCUGAGACACGAAAGCCAGGGGAGCGAACGGG
Molecule: ribosomal RNA, 253 nt
Filed under: uncultured bacterium
Lineage: Bacteria
Description: partial 16S ribosomal RNA
Rfam family: Bacterial small subunit ribosomal RNA
Source: RNAcentral